CCAAUAGCGUAUAUUAAAGUUGUUGCAGUUAAAAAGCUCGUAGUUGAAUUUCGGGGUUCUACCGUUGGUCGGGCAAUAGUCUGUACUGGCGUGUAGAAUUUCUACCUUCUGGGGAACCAUCAUGUUAUUUAUUUAGCGUGGUGGGAAACCAGGACCUUUACCUUGAAAAAAUUAGAGUGUUCAAAGCAGGUUUACGUCUGAAUACAUUAGCAUGGAAUAAUAAAAUAGGACGGUGGUCCUGUUUUGUUGGUUUCUGAAUCACCGUAAUGAUUAAUAGGGAUAGUUGGGGGCAUUAGUAUUCAAUUGUCAGAGGUGAAAUUCUUGGAUUUAUUGAAGACUAACUUCUGCGAAAGCAUUUGCCAAGGAUGUUUUCAUUAAUCAAGAACGAAAGUUAGGGGAUCGAAGACGAUCAGAUACCGUUGUAGUCUUAACCAUAAACUAUGCCGACUAGGGAUCGGACGAUGUUAAUUUUUCUUGACUCGUUCAGCGCCUUACG
This 496-nucleotide ribosomal RNA is filed under the name uncultured Glomeromycotina. RNAcentral describes it as "partial small subunit ribosomal RNA". It matches the Rfam family "Eukaryotic small subunit ribosomal RNA", at positions 591 to 1092 of the family's 1831-position model. The record is from RNAcentral. Lineage: Eukaryota; Fungi; Glomeromycota.